GUUUUCUCGCGUAAAAUUACGCCCCAGCUUGCAAUCGAUUUUCGACAUCUCGAGAAUCGUCGUCGCUUUUGUAUAAAAUCGUGCGACGAUGGAGAUUUUAUUUCGACACAAUUAAUAUCUGACGUGUGGACUAUCUGUGUGUUCCUUAAUUCGGUCUACAUCUUUUACAACGCCAGUUUGAGGAAAAGUAUUACAGAAAUGUCCCGCGUAGUGUGGAUUGGAUCAAACCACUGUGUGAUGCAACUUUGCGAGAGGAAUUCCUACAACAAACUGUACAAUUUAUUGAAUGUAUUUGAACACAUGGAAUGUUGCUUUGAAUGGAUACGCGCAUAAUGAACACUUACACAAUAACAAUGAGAAUGAUAACGAUUUUCCCGGACGAGAAAAGUCAUCUUUGAACUCGUAUCGAAUAAUAAUAUCCUUUAGAAUGACGCUUCUCUCGCGAUGCUAUCUCGCAAUCGCGUUUCCCGUCGCAGAUCUGACGUGUGUUUACUUCGUUUCAUCUCGUCGGUCGGCUCUUUCGCGGUGUGUCUGCUAAUUAAAAACAAUAUUUUUUUUCUCCGGAGCGAGAAAUCGUUGUAAAAAAUUGGCGCGAUACAAGUCGCACAAAAGUCGCUGAAAGUUUUGAUCUAAUUUAUAUUCGGAAGCGGAGUUUUGUUUAUUCAAUAAACAGUUUGCAAAAAUUCAAAUGGAUUUCCCAACGCAAAUAAUUGCGAUAAUUUAUAUAAAUAUGUAAACUUCUCCGCGACAAUUCUGUUUUGGAUACAUAAGUAAAAAAGAACGCUUGAAAAUAAAUGUAAGCAAACUUUGAGUUCAGGUUUACAUGUUUCAUUUUUUUCUCUCUCUUACAUCAUGGGAACCAGAGACGUGCUAUCUCGUCUGAUAUUUUUUUGUUAAAUUUUAUAUACACACAAAUUGUUCCUCACAAAGAUGUAGCCACGUGUAAAAUAAUCCUUUCUUAUGCAUAGUUUCUUUGGUGCGAGACAGAAAGAGAGAGAGAGAGAGAGAGAGAGAGAGAGAGAGAGAGAGAGAGAGAAAAUAUAAAACACAUGUAGAACUGAACAAAAGUUUUUUAUUCUUGUUCACGGGAGGUCAAGAGAUAAAAGAAACAGAACUCGUGUGUUUCAGAGAAGAAAAAUCGAAUUCACGCGGAGCCGCGUACGUAUGUAGGCGCGCACACACACGUGAGUGUCAGAGGUCGAAUGUAUAAAAAAGCAGGUUCUGUACAUUAAGAACACUUUCGUCGAUCCUCAAAAUGCGCUCGUGUUGUACAAAGAUAAGAGAUUUAUUGCCUAUUACAUAUUAAUAUCGCACGUGUCACUGCUCCCUGUAUGAAGAAACAAAAUUUGAUUUGCAACCAAACGGAGGUUCGUGUCUCACGUUUGUGUCGCAAUAAAAUACCGUAAUAGCGCAAUACACAAUUUCCCGGAAAUUAUUUUAUCGGAUGACGUGAACGCGUAAUGUGACUAAUUUUACUCUUGCUUUCUGUAAAGUUAGAGAAAAAAAGAGAGAGAGAGAGAGCGAGAAAGAGAGGACGGGAUGGGAGAGGAAAGGAAGAAGUGGAGCUCGAAACUGGUUUUUCACGAAAAAGAGAAUUGGAACUCAACAACUGCAUACAGCUUAAAAGAAGCUAAUUUCUCGGAAAUGUAAUAAGAGUAUUGAAAUUAUUCUCUUUAGAACAGAUGAUGUGACACGUUUGAAGUGAGGUAUUAAAUAGUUAGUUUUUGCUUAUCAACUUACGUAUAUCAGAUCUCUUUGCGCUUAAUCAUUUUACUCUCUAUUACGUUCUAUAUAUAUAUAUAUAUUGUAUAAUGAAGUGCCGAGAUCUGAUUAUCUUUCAUGUUGUCUUGCGAAUCUUUUUUUUCACGCUCGCGCACGAUCAGAUAAUAAACUGUGCGCGCAUAUCUCGGCGCGAUAUCAAUUCGCGCUAUUAUUAUUUUUUUUUUUUUGUGUUCUUUAAUUUUUAAAACAUUACCACGAAGGACAAUGACCAGCGUUAAUGCAAAUGCGCGCGUGUAUUGUAAAGCGAGAAUAUUGUACAUCAUAUGAGCGAUAAGCUCGCUAUCGAGAGGCGCAGUCGAUUUAUUUGCUGCGCAACUUUAUACUACGUAUGUACGUAUAUAAAUUUUUGCAGAGAGAGGAAAAACUACACGCGAUAUGUUCGUCGCGAAUGUACGUAUUUUAUUAACUAUUCUUUUCUCUUCCGCGGUGUAUAGAUUAGAUUUCGAUUAGAUCGUUUGACACGUGAAAAUCGAUAGCCGUCGUAUACGUCGUUGUAUAUGACGCUGCAAAUAUCGUGCACAACGCAUCCGACGGAAACAUAAUUAUUAAAGCGAGAAGCGGCAAGGUCAACGACGAACGAAUGUAAUGCAACUUUGGUUUGCACGGCGUGUGCACAGAAAGUAAACAAGCAACGAAACGCUGUGUAUCAUCUAAUCGACGAAUCGUCGUUCUAAUCGUCGUUGCGCAUAAUUACGACGACCUUGCGCGUCUAUUGGACUCAGCAGGCCGGAGAAGCUGAAUCAAUCUCUGUUGUUUCUGCGUCGCAACGGGAAAGACGCGCGAGAGAAGUGUCUUCGAACUUCUUUUGUGUGUGACUUCGAGAUCCGAUGAUAUUCAAACAAACUCCCUCAACUCUUUUUUGACACGACAAACAUCUCGUUCUCAGAAAGAUGUGAUAAUACGAGCUGCUCUUGUGAACGCUUUCGAACUGCAAUGUGCAAAGAUAUAAAUUUUAUCUCGCGUGCAUAUAUAUUGUAUUACACACGCACAAAAGCCUAGAGACAGAAAGAAGGCGAGGAAAAAGGUUGAGAAAAAGUUGGAAAAAAAAAAAAGAGACAAACGCGAAAGGCAUUUGCAGUAUUAAUUAACGAUAUAUAAAAACUGUUUUAUUUGUGAAAGCGAACUUUUAUACUAACGAUGGAAAAUUUAUAAACUUUAAGUGUGUUAUAUUUAUAUAUACGUAUCACACACACAGCUGUGUAUAAUAAAUAAAGAGAACUUAAAGAAAACUUAUAUCUUCUCUGUACAUUUUUUUCUAAUGAAAAAUAAAGUACGACGCGAGUUCUUUCUUUUUGUAUGUAUAAACAAAAAAACAGAAGAAACGUUUGAAUUUUUGACUUUGUUGGCAACUUUACAACAUCAAACACAACACAUAUACAUUUCUAUUUUUUGUUGAUAACUUUGUAAUCAGUAUAUAUAUGUAUAUAUUUACAUAUGUAUACAUACAUACAUAAAUUAUAUUUAUAUAUAUAUAUAUAUGUACAUUUGCAUUGAUAUUACAAAGCCGCUGGCAAAGCCAAGAAUGCGCUUGCUGAAGAAGCAGAUCUAAUAAUACGCGUGAUGUAAUGCUGCAAUUUUACUUGCUGCUUCUUUACUUUCAUGAACACAACGAGAAAAAAAAAAAAAAAAAAAGAAACACUUCUUUAAUGCAAUUGAAAUGAUAUGGACUACUAGUAGUUUAGUCGUAAUCUUUUUUUUGACUACUUUUUAUGCGGAUCAUUAAAGUAAUUAAUUUUAUAAAUUAAUGACAUUACGCAACUUAAGUGUUUCUAGAAGAGAAGAUUAUACUUCAUCAUGUCACUUGGCGCUUACUUAACGAUUUUUUUAUCUUAUCGAUAAUUUCUAUCUUGUUUAAUUUUAUAUAUUUAUAUAUAUAUAUAUAUAUAUAUAUAUAUGGAGUUGUUAGGAUAAGAAUACUUGUGAGCGAGUUAUUAUAUCGUUGGACCUAUUCGCGGUAUAAAAGUUACGAUUACAUAUAAAAAAUCACAGUCUUAUAAAUAUAUUUCGUUUUGCGCACAUGGGGUGCACUGAUUAUGUAAUAUUGUGUCGUAAAAAACUUUUUCGCAUAUUAUACUUUUAUAUUAAAAUCAAAAGCUAGCGCAGAUAUACGUGUAUGCAACACAUUGCGCAACAAAUAUACAUUGAAGGUAACUUCACAUUGAAGAUUUUCUUGAAGUCAAUAUCCUAUCUAAAGAACCGAAAAAAUUUUCUAUUUCUAAAUUUCGAGUUUUAAACAACAACAAUUGCGCCUAAAUAUGUUCGUCUAAAACUUAAAUCUAUUAGAUAAUUAAUCUCUUGUGCUAAGAGUUUGUGUAUCCACACACACAAACUUUUAUAAAUUUUAAUAAAAGUAUUUUUCUUAAUUUCAUUUCUUCUAGCAAAGUUGAUGUAAUCCUCCGCAGAUAUGUGUACAGGAGAGAAGCUGUACAUAUCCUAUUAAAAAAGAACGACCUAUAUAUUUCUAAAGAGCCUUCGCUUUGUCACAUACACACACAUGCACACACACAUUUGGAUAUUAGAAAUUCUAAUGUAUCUCAAUUGUAAUCCAACUCUUUCGUCAGACAAGUAUGGAAGAGUUUUGGUCAAAAAUAUUAACAUUUCUCACUAAUGUUCACGUCUGAAUUAGUUAUAGAAGCAUUUUUUGAACCCGUUAGAUCUAUAAUAAUAUAAAUAUCAAACUUUACAAGCGUCAAUAAGUAUGUAACUUUUAAGUAUUAUAUAAUCUUUAGUACUUUUUUUUAUCCUUUUUUAAAUUCUUGUUUAUAUAUAUAUUAUAUGUACGUGUAACGUGUAAAAUAUCACUCUUACAUAAAUAAUUUCAUAACAUCUGGAAAAAGCACUCUUGUUUCAAAGAAACAGACAUAAACGUUAAAAAUUCAGAUGAUAAAAAAACACUCAUGAUGCUUAUACACAUAUUGAAUACAUGUAUAUUUGUUAUUCAGUUUAAUAAAACUUCACCGACGUAUGCACGCGCACAGUUACAUACACAUAUACAACACACACGUAGCAAGAUGAAUACAAGAAAUCACACACUGUAUAUUUAUUAUACAAUCUGUAUUGCUGUAUGAAAAACGAAAAACAAGAAAACUAAAAAAAAAAAAAAA
This is a long non-coding RNA of Pseudomyrmex gracilis, 4886 nucleotides long. RefSeq lists it as uncharacterized. The transcript is spliced from 2 exons. The record is from RefSeq and is a predicted model, not a curated record. NCBI's taxonomy places the organism in Eukaryota, Metazoa, Arthropoda, Insecta, Hymenoptera, Formicidae.